GGGUUGUGAGGUUAAGCGACUAAGCGUACACGGUGGAUGCCCUGGCAGUCAGAGGCGAUGAAGGACGUGCUAAUCUGCGAUAAGCGUCGGUAAGGUGAUAUGAACCGUUAUAACCGGCGAUUUCCGAAUGGGGAAACCCAGUGUGAUUCGACACACUAUCAUUAACUGAAUCCAUAGGUUAAUGAGGCGAACCGGGGGAACUGAAACAUCUAAGUACCCCGAGGAAAAGAAAUCAACCGAGAUUCCCCCAGUAGCGGCGAGCGAACGGGGAGCAGCCCAGAGCCUGAAUCAGUGUGUGUGUUAGUGGAAGCGUCUGGAAAGGCGCGCGAUACAGGGUGACAGCCCCGUACACAAAAAUGCACAUGCUGUGAGCUCGAUGAGUAGGGCGGGACACGUGGUAUCCUGUCUGAAUAUGGGGGGACCAUCCUCCAAGGCUAAAUACUCCUGACUGACCGAUAGUGAACCAGUACCGUGAGGGAAAGGCGAAAAGAACCCCGGCGAGGGGAGUGAAAAAGAACCUGAAACCGUGUACGUACAAGCAGUGGGAGCACAGAGCAAUCUGUGUGACUGCGUACCUUUUGUAUAAUGGGUCAGCGACUUAUAUUCUGUAGCAAGGUUAACCGAAUAGGGGAGCCGAAGGGAAACCGAGUCUUAACUGGGCGUUAAGUUGCAGGGUAUAGACCCGAAACCCGGUGAUCUAGCCAUGGGCAGGUUGAAGGUUGGGUAACACUAACUGGAGGACCGAACCGACUAAUGUUGAAAAAUUAGCGGAUGACUUGUGGCUGGGGGUGAAAGGCCAAUCAAACCGGGAGAUAGCUGGUUCUCCCCGAAAGCUAUUUAGGUAGCGCCUCGUGAAUUCAUCUCCGGGGGUAGAGCACUGUUUCGGCAAGGGGGUCAUCCCGACUUACCAACCCGAUGCAAACUGCGAAUACCGGAGAAUGUUAUCACGGGAGACACACGGCGGGUGCUAACGUCCGUCGUGAAGAGGGAAACAACCCAGACCGCCAGCUAAGGUCCCAAAGUCAUGGUUAAGUGGGAAACGAUGUGGGAAGGCCCAGACAGCCAGGAUGUUGGCUUAGAAGCAGCCAUCAUUUAAAGAAAGCGUAAUAGCUCACUGGUCGAGUCGGCCUGCGCGGAAGAUGUAACGGGGCUAAACCAUGCACCGAAGCUGCGGCAGCGACGCUUAUGCGUUGUUGGGUAGGGGAGCGUUCUGUAAGCCUGCGAAGGUGUGCUGUGAGGCAUGCUGGAGGUAUCAGAAGUGCGAAUGCUGACAUAAGUAACGAUAAAGCGGGUGAAAAGCCCGCUCGCCGGAAGACCAAGGGUUCCUGUCCAACGUUAAUCGGGGCAGGGUGAGUCGACCCCUAAGGCGAGGCCGAAAGGCGUAGUCGAUGGGAAACAGGUUAAUAUUCCUGUACUUGGUGUUACUGCGAAGGGGGGACGGAGAAGGCUAUGUUGGCCGGGCGACGGUUGUCCCGGUUUAAGCGUGUAGGCUGGUUUUCCAGGCAAAUCCGGAAAAUCAAGGCUGAGGCGUGAUGACGAGGCACUACGGUGCUGAAGCAACAAAUGCCCUGCUUCCAGGAAAAGCCUCUAAGCAUCAGGUAACAUCAAAUCGUACCCCAAACCGACACAGGUGGUCAGGUAGAGAAUACCAAGGCGCUUGAGAGAACUCGGGUGAAGGAACUAGGCAAAAUGGUGCCGUAACUUCGGGAGAAGGCACGCUGAUAUGUAGGUGAAGUCCCUCGCGGAUGGAGCUGAAAUCAGUCGAAGAUACCAGCUGGCUGCAACUGUUUAUUAAAAACACAGCACUGUGCAAACACGAAAGUGGACGUAUACGGUGUGACGCCUGCCCGGUGCCGGAAGGUUAAUUGAUGGGGUUAGCGCAAGCGAAGCUCUUGAUCGAAGCCCCGGUAAACGGCGGCCGUAACUAUAACGGUCCUAAGGUAGCGAAAUUCCUUGUCGGGUAAGUUCCGACCUGCACGAAUGGCGUAAUGAUGGCCAGGCUGUCUCCACCCGAGACUCAGUGAAAUUGAACUCGCUGUGAAGAUGCAGUGUACCCGCGGCAAGACGGAAAGACCCCGUGAACCUUUACUAUAGCUUGACACUGAACAUUGAGCCUUGAUGUGUAGGAUAGGUGGGAGGCUUUGAAGUGUGGACGCCAGUCUGCAUGGAGCCGACCUUGAAAUACCACCCUUUAAUGUUUGAUGUUCUAACGUUGACCCGUAAUCCGGGUUGCGGACAGUGUCUGGUGGGUAGUUUGACUGGGGCGGUCUCCUCCUAAAGAGUAACGGAGGAGCACGAAGGUUGGCUAAUCCUGGUCGGACAUCAGGAGGUUAGUGCAAUGGCAUAAGCCAGCUUGACUGCGAGCGUGACGGCGCGAGCAGGUGCGAAAGCAGGUCAUAGUGAUCCGGUGGUUCUGAAUGGAAGGGCCAUCGCUCAACGGAUAAAAGGUACUCCGGGGAUAACAGGCUGAUACCGCCCAAGAGUUCAUAUCGACGGCGGUGUUUGGCACCUCGAUGUCGGCUCAUCACAUCCUGGGGCUGAAGUAGGUCCCAAGGGUAUGGCUGUUCGCCAUUUAAAGUGGUACGCGAGCUGGGUUUAGAACGUCGUGAGACAGUUCGGUCCCUAUCUGCCGUGGGCGCUGGAGAACUGAGGGGGGCUGCUCCUAGUACGAGAGGACCGGAGUGGACGCAUCACUGGUGUUCGGGUUGUCAUGCCAAUGGCAUUGCCCGGUAGCUAAAUGCGGAAGAGAUAAGUGCUGAAAGCAUCUAAGCACGAAACUUGCCCCGAGAUGAGUUCUCCCUGACUCCUUGAGAGUCCUGAAGGAACGUUGAAGACGACGACGUUGAUAGGCCGGGUGUGUAAGCGCAGCGAUGCGUUGAGCUAACCGGUACUAAUGAACCGUGAGGCUUAACCUUACAACGCCGAAGCUGUU
RNAcentral lists this ribosomal RNA (2932 nucleotides) under Escherichia coli. RNAcentral describes it as "bacterial LSU rRNA". It matches the Rfam family "Bacterial large subunit ribosomal RNA". Lineage: Bacteria; Pseudomonadati; Pseudomonadota; Gammaproteobacteria; Enterobacterales; Enterobacteriaceae. The record is from RNAcentral.